This 374-nucleotide unclassified non-coding RNA is filed under the name uncultured bacterium. RNAcentral's name for it is "contains 16S-23S intergenic spacer region". The record is from RNAcentral.
UCGCGGCUUAUCACCGGCAGUCCCCUUAGAGUGCCCAACUGAAUGAUGGCAACUAAGGGCGAGGGUUGCGCUCGUUGCGGCACUUAAGCCAACACCUCACGGCACGGGCUGACGACAGCCAUGCAGCACCUGUGCUAGCCCCUUACGGACACGGGCUUUCACCCGCUUUAACUAGCAUGUCAAACCCAGGUAAGGUUCUUCGCGUUGCAUCGAAUUAAGCCACAUGCUCCGCCGCUUGUGCGGGCCCCCGUCAAUUCCUUUGAGUUUUAGCCUUGCGGCCGUAGUCCCCAGGCGGAGUACUUAUCGCGUUAGCUACGACACCGAAAGGCAGACCCCUCCGACAUCCAGUUCUCAUCGUUUAUGGCGUGGACUAC